AAUUGUUCGCAAUGGGCGCAAGCCUGACGACGCAACGCCGCGUGGAGGAUGAAGAUUUUCGGAUCGUAAACUCCUGUCGAAUGGGACGAACAGAUUGCGGGUUAACAGCCCGCGAUCCUGACGGUACCGUUAAAGGAAACCCCGGCUAACUCCGUGCCAGCAGCCGCGGUAAUACAGAGGGGGCAAGCGUUGUCCGGACUGACUGGGCGUAAAGCGCACGCAGGCGGUUGUGGGCGUCGGUGCUGAAAGUCCACUGCUUAACAGUGGGAUGCGUGCCGAUACGCCAUAACUGGAGCGAUGCAGAGGCCAGUGGAAUUGCCGGUGUAGUGGUGAAAUGCGUAGAGAUCGGCAGGAACACCCAAGGGGAAGCCAGCUGGCUGGGCAUUUGCUGACGCUCAUGUGCGACAGCGUGGGGAGCGAAC
RNAcentral lists this ribosomal RNA (422 nucleotides) under uncultured bacterium. RNAcentral describes it as "bacterial SSU rRNA". It matches the Rfam family "Bacterial small subunit ribosomal RNA", at positions 360 to 773 of the family's 1533-position model. The record is from RNAcentral.